GUCUCUCUCACUGAAGUGCAGACAGAGAACUCGAAUUUAAAACUGAGUUUCUGUAAAGAAGUGCAUCCUGGUUUUCUGUCUCGGACCUGUGUCAAGUCUGGAUGAUGUUGGGGUCCAGGAGAAAGAACACGAUUAACAAGAGGUUCAGCAUGCUACGCGUGGUUCUGCUUAAAGUCAAUCUGUGGAAAAGCGAUGGCAGAGUGUCUCAAACAUCUAACGCAUUAGAGUCUACUCACUUGACCCACUCAUUACUCCUGUCCCCUCUUUCUGCACUUCUAAAGAACAGCAGAAUGGAUGAGCAGAGAUGCACACUUCCACCUCCUCUUAAAGACGGGUGGGUGCGUAGUCUGGAGGAGAGUAAGAGGGGGAAGAAAAUGGGGUGCGUCCUGGGGACAUGGGGAAAUCAGG
Long non-coding RNA from Ictalurus punctatus (channel catfish), 408 nucleotides. Lineage: Eukaryota; Metazoa; Chordata; Actinopteri; Siluriformes; Ictaluridae. The record is from Ensembl.